This 1624-nucleotide long non-coding RNA is filed under the name Salvia miltiorrhiza (redroot sage). Its description in RNAcentral is "long non-coding RNA (SMIL_LNC010423)". The record is from RNAcentral. Lineage: Eukaryota; Viridiplantae; Streptophyta; Magnoliopsida; Lamiales; Lamiaceae.
AACUGUUACUAUUAAAUUCGCCCUAAACCUAAAGAAAUGAAGUGUCCAUCUAUGAAUCCUGAUGCACUACCUUCAAACAAACUGUAUAUUUCAACAAAUUCAACAUCCUAUCAUUUCUUGGAUCCACAGCUGGUUGAAACUCAUCAACCAAUAAUAGUAAUCACAAAUUCAAUAAAGGAAUUGUAUUCAACGAAGACUACUUGUAUUCUCUCUUCCCUUGUUCGCUGGAAAACAAAUUCCUUGCCGCAUAUUAUCACAAAUAUUCUCCCAAUUCUUUUGGUUGCUCCGCAAAACCCAAUUGCAUCAAACCAAAACUACAAACAAAACAUUUUCAAUUUGGGAUUUUCUUCCGCAUAUUCUCUUAUAAUCCCAUUUCUUCAUCAUCUCCUCGACCAAUUAAUCACAAGACUGCAAUGGAAUAUUCCGCCUUUAAUUUCUGCGUGCGUGUAUGCAUCGUGUAUACCCAGCGAGUUUAAUAAAUAGGGAACAUGAGCGCCCAAAUCUUUUUCCAGAUCAGAUUAGAUUCCAAAAGCCAAAUUCUCCCUACGGAUUUUGUACCCUUUUCGUGUUAAAUUAAUCGGAGCGGUGGAUUCGCACACGGAGAUAACCAAAUAACAAUGAAAUUUGGGAGGGAAUUUGGGAAUCACUUGGAGAAAACCCUACCCGGAUGGAGGGACGAAUAUCUGCGCUACAAGCUUUUGAAGAAGCUGCUGAAUAACAUCUCACCCGCCGCCGGAGUUCUGCCGCUGCCGGAGUUCCAGGUCUGGUUUGUGGCGGUUCUCGCUGGGGAAAUUAGAAAAGUUCAACGAUUUCUACGUCGGCAAGGAGGAGGAUCUCAUCAUCCGCUUCCAGGUAACUAUCUCUGUGUGUGUGUUUAGUCUUAGUGUUUAUGUUUUGUAAUUUUUUUUUUUUUGAGAAUUGUUUUGAUUUUUUUAUUGAGUGCCUUAUUUGCAGAGAUUUAACUACCCAAGUUUUGUGAUGAGUUUUACAGUUUUAUGUUCAAUUGAAGUUUGAAGCUUUGAUGAUAAUAGGUGUAAACGUUGCUUAAUUUUGAAUUUGGAAGCCCCCAAAAUAAAUAAAAUAAAAAUGAAAAAGAAAAACAGAGAAAAGAAAAAUAGAAAAGGGACAAGAAGAUGUAUUUAUUCAUUAUAAUUGCUUUAUAGUUAGCUCCCAAAUGCCAACUCAUCCAAGUACUUUUGUUGAUGAACUAAAGUAGGAAACUUGAGCAUAAUGAUAAUAAUAAUAAUAAUAAUAAUAAUAAUAAUAAUAAUAAUAAUAAGUCUUCGUUUACAUCAACAAAAAAUGGUUUAUAUUUUCUUCAUAGCAUGUUACUGACUGGAGAUGAGUGUAUGAAGAGAUUUAAGAAUUUACUACUUUUGAAACUCGGAUAGCCUGAGGCUCAUCUCCUCAUCCACGUAGAAAUCGUCGAGCUUUUCUCACCCAAGAAAUCGAACCUGCAAGAAGAUAAUAUCCAAAACAAGGCCAUUUCAGCCAUUAAGAAAGUGCACUAUGUUUAUGAAUAUGAAGUAUGGAUGAAGCUUAUUGUAGGCAUACGAAAGCUAGAUAGAGACGGUACUCGUAUGAGAUUUGAGGUAAGUAUGGUUAGAGUGAUUUUCUUCUAAUG